UACGUAGGGGCCAAGCGUUGUCCGGAUUUAUUGGGCGUAAAGAGCGCGUAGGCGGCUUGACAAGUCACUUGUGAAAUCUCCGGGCUUAACUCGGAACGGCCAAGUGAAACUGUCAUGCUAGAGUGCAGAAGGGGCAAUCGGAAUUCUUGGUGUAGCGGUGAAAUGCGUAGAUAUCAAGAGGAACACCUGAGGUGAAGACGGGUUGCUGGGCUGACACUGACGCUGAGGCGCGAAAGCCAGGGGAGCAAACGGG
Molecule: ribosomal RNA, 253 nt
Filed under: uncultured bacterium
Lineage: Bacteria
Description: partial 16S ribosomal RNA
Rfam family: Bacterial small subunit ribosomal RNA
Source: RNAcentral